AUAUCUAAGUCCUUUGCCCAUUUUUAAAUCUGGUUGGUUGUUUUUUUUGUUGUUUUUUAGGAGUUCUCUACAGAUUCUGGACAUUAAUCCCUUAUUAGGUAUAUAAUUUAUAAAUUUUCUCUAAUUUUGUGGAUUGCCUUUUUCUGAUACUCCAGGGCUGAUACUGUUUUUUGAUGCACAAAAUACAAAAAUUUUCAGGAAGCCAACUUUGUCUAUUUUUACUUUUGUUGCCUGUUCCUUUUGGUGUCCUACUCAAGAAAUCAUUGCCAAGUCCAAUGUCAUGAAGUUUUUACCCUAAGUUUUCAUCUAAAAGUUUUAUAGUUUUAGAUCUUACAUCUAUACCUUUGAUCCAUUUUGUAAUUUUGCAUAUGAUAUUAGCUAAGGAUCCAACUUCAUUCUUUUGCAGGUGGAUAUUCAGUUUCCCCAGCAUCAUUUGUUGAAAAGAUAGUCCUUUCCUAUUGAAUGGUCUUAGCACACUUGUCAAAAAUCAUCCUGUUAUAAACGUGAGGGCUUUUUCUGAGUUCUAUAUUCUAUUCCGUUGAUUUAUAUGUUGAUCAUCAUUUCAGUAUUACUGUUUUAAUUAUUGUAGCUUUAUAGUAAAAUUUGAAAUAACAAAUGAGAGUCCUCCAGGUUGUACUUUUUUUUUUUUUUUUUCAAGAUUGCUUUGGCUAUUAAGGGUUCCUUGAGAUGCCAUAUUAAUUUUAGGAGGGGUUUUUCUAUUUCUGCAAAAAUUGUCAUUGGGCUCUGGCCAGCGUGAUUCAGUGGUUAGAGAGAUCAUGGGUUUGAUUCCAGGUCAAGGGCAUGGGUUGAAGAUUUUAUCCCUGGCCCUGCUCAGGGUGGGUGUAGGAAGCAACCAAUUGAUGUCUCUCUCACAUCAAUGUUUCUUUCUCUCUC
Molecule: long non-coding RNA, 894 nt
Organism: Pipistrellus kuhlii (Kuhl's pipistrelle)
Lineage: Eukaryota; Metazoa; Chordata; Mammalia; Chiroptera; Vespertilionidae
Exons: 2
Source: RefSeq, a predicted model, not a curated record